Molecule: long non-coding RNA, 2189 nt
Organism: Lolium rigidum
Lineage: Eukaryota; Viridiplantae; Streptophyta; Magnoliopsida; Poales; Poaceae
Exons: 2
Source: RefSeq, a predicted model, not a curated record
GCGGGAUCAAGCGUCGCCCUCGCCCGCGGCCAUCUCCGUCCACACCCACGGGAACGCCUCAGGCUGCACCCAUGAGAAUGCCACCACCUGCAAACGCGCGAACGCCUCCACCUACAGACCUAUUCCUGCGAGAACAUCGACGCCCGUACCCACGCGAACGCCUCCGACUCCUCAAGGUAACAAGACUAACAACCCGUUCUACAAAUUUUCGUAGUAGUGAACACUGAGGAGUGCCGGUACUUCGUGUAUUUGUUGCUAUGUGUCACCAUCUUUUUUGCAGACUGUGCGGUGUGAUGCUUUUCUUCUACCCUUUGUAGUAGCUUGCUGUUGAUAUUUGAGAUCGAUCCAAAUAUUAACCUUGUGUCUGACGGGUACUGAAUUUCAUGCUCUUAUGAAGUAAUUAACUGAUUAUUUAUCACACGCCAAAUAACACAUGUGAUCUUUCUUAUAGAUCUAUUCAUUCAUCAGUCAAGAAGUAGAGAUGUACUCCAGUCUGUAUUUGUCAUAUCUCUGAAUGCGUAACCAAGUUUCUAAGCAAUUUUUUCUGUAGUUUUCAUAUCUCUGAAUGUGUAAACCAAGUUUCCUGUAAAUAAAAGGAUUGUUUCUAAAAUUGUUCUUUUUGUAUUUGUCAUAUGCCUGAACCUAUAUAUAUAAAUUACUAAGAAGUUCAUUUUGUAAACUUAAUGAAAGGAUGAAACAACUUCUUGGCUGUCAAUUUUCUUCGCCUAUGUACUGCAGAGUUUGCUGAUCAGUUUUUUCAAAUGUGUCAGCCUGAGGGUCACGCUUAGCGAUCUCAUGUUGCAAGGAUUCUGUAUCGGUACAUUUCUUAUCCAAAACUGACUGCACUCCGUCCAAUAGCUUCUGGCUAUCUGAUUCUAGAUUCAAAGUCUUAUGUAUCGGUAGUCUUCUGUAUCAUAAGAGGUAUAGCUAGAAAAAAAAAGCUAAAUGAUCAAUUUUGGAGAAACAACUACUCCGUAGAAAAAUUAACCUGCAGUUGCACGCUUUCUCUAUUUUAUGUUGUUUGGUUCAACAUUUUUUCAAAUCUGCACAGAGACAAGCAUGCUAUCAUGAAAACCUUGUGCUGAAACUACUACAAUAUGUCCUGAAACUGAACUCUUUUGAGGUGAUGCCCUAUUUACAUGUUUUUCCUUAUUAAAGAGAUAAAGUGAGUCGUGAUAUUGCUAGGAUGGUGAGGUAGACAUGACAUGAGGCCUUUGUCAAAUAAGUGACUGUAUGCUUUUGGUCAUUGCUUUUCUAACUCUUAGAUAUGUUAACAUAUUAUGAUACUAAUAUUUCAUGAUACCCUUCUUGGCCAAGGAAGUACAGUCAUGCCCGCAACUCUGGAGUAUGAGAGAAACAGGUUGGCAAGGAUUAAGAGGCGCAUGGCUGAGGAGGCAGGUCCUCCUGAAGACAUACGAAACAUAGCUACUGAACUGUUAUAUGGUCAGAAUGCAAAUCAAAACAGGGGCGCAAAGGUGUGGAUGGUGGUAGUGGCUCCAAAUAUGAGCCAAAUGAUGAGGAGGAGGCUGAUGAUGCCGAUGAGUUUUCUGAAGAAGAAGAGGAGCAGGGGCCAACUCUACAUAUGUCAAAGAAAAAGACUGCUGUGGGAAGAAAAGGAAGUGAUGCACAACCAGAAGAUGAGCACCCAGUAUUUGGUACGCAGAUUGUGGCUGAAGUUCUAAAGGAGCACAACACCUCAAGCACCUUCCUUUCUACCAUGGGGGUAACAAUCAAGAUAUGGGAGGUCUAAGGACACCAGCUUCCGCAGAAUGCGUUCAAGAGUUAGAUGGAAAAGCUGAACAAGAAAAUAGUGAGGACCAUAGGCAAAUGUGAUGUACCAACAACAGUUAACUAACAGAGGUAAAACGCAAGAGGCUGUACUUAAAGAGAUGAAAAAGAAGCAACACGAAGUAUUGGAGGCCAUGAAGAAGAGCAUGGAAGAAAAGAAUAAAUCAUAUAAAAAGAAGCAAGAGGAACAUGAUGGCCUUAUUAGAUUCCUCUUACGAAAACAUGUAACGUAGACUAGGUACCAUACUUGAUGGUUCAUGAAGGCUACGCUUAUAUGUUGUGCUAUCCUAGUACGAUCUUAGUUUGCUCGACUUUACUUAUGAUAGUUUUAUAGUGCAACUUAUUCUGUUAUGUACAAAGAUUUUGUUUUGAGUUAGAUGCCAAUUGAGUAUAUCUUGUCA